AGUGAACGCUGGCGGCAGGCCUAAUACAUGCAAGUCGAACGGCAGCACAGCAGAGCUUGCUCUGUGGGUGGCGAGUGGCGGACGGGUGAGGAAUACAUGGGAAUCUGCCCAGUCGUGGGGGAUAACGUAUGGAAACGUACGCUAAUACCGCAUGCGCCCUACGGGGGAAAGUCGGGGACCGCAAGGCCUGACGCGAUUGGAUGAGCCCAUGUUCGAUUAGCUAGUUGGCGGGGUAAAGGCCCACCAAGGCGACGAUCGAUAGCUGGUCUGAGAGGAUGAUCAGCCACACUGGAACUGAGACACGGUCCAGACUCCUACGGGAGGCAGCAGUAGGGAAUAUUGGACAAUGGGGGCAACCCUGAUCCAGCCAUGCCGCGUGAGUGAUGAAGG
This 390-nucleotide ribosomal RNA is filed under the name uncultured bacterium. Its description in RNAcentral is "bacterial SSU rRNA". It matches the Rfam family "Bacterial small subunit ribosomal RNA", at positions 29 to 414 of the family's 1533-position model. The record is from RNAcentral.